AGAGUUUGAUCCUGGCUCAGAUUGAACGCUGGCGGCAUGCUUUACACAUGCAAGUCGAACGGCAGCACGGGGGCAACCCUGGUGGCGAGUGGCGAACGGGUGAGUAAUGCAUCGGAACGUAUCCUUAAGUGGGGGAUAACGCAUCGAAAGAUGCGCUAAUACCGCAUAAUCUCUGAGGAGAAAAGCAGGGGAUCGCAAGACCUUGCGCUUUUGGAGCGGCCGAUGUCUGAUUAGCUAGUUGGUGAGGUAAAGGCUUACCAAGGCUUCGAUCAGUAGCUGGUCUGAGAGGACGACCAGCCACACUGGGACUGAGACACGGCCCAGACUUCUACGGGAGGCAGCAGUGGGGAAUUUUGGACAAUGGGGGAAACCCUGAUCCAGCCAUGCCGCGUGAGUGAAGAAGGCCUUCGGGUUGUAAAGCUCUUUCAGCCGGAAAGAAAUCGCACUGGUUAAUACCUUGUGUGGAUGACGGUACCGGAAGAAGAAGCACCGGCUAACUACGUGCCAGCAGCCGCGGUAAUACGUAGGGUGCGAGCGUUAAUCGGAAUUACUGGGCGUAAAGCGUGCGCAGGCGGAUUCUCAAGUCGGAUGUGAAAACCGUAGGCUUAACCUACGGCCUGCAUCUGAUACUGUUAAUCUUGAGUACGGGAGAGGAAAGUGGAAUUCCAGGUGUAGCGGUGACAUGCGUAGAUAUCUGGAAGAACACCGGUGGCGAAGGCGGCUUUCUGGACCGAUACUGACGCUGAGGCGCGAAAGCCAGGGGAGCAAACAGGAUUAGAUACCCUGGUAGUC
This 792-nucleotide ribosomal RNA is filed under the name uncultured bacterium. RNAcentral describes it as "bacterial SSU rRNA". It matches the Rfam family "Bacterial small subunit ribosomal RNA", at positions 8 to 795 of the family's 1533-position model. The record is from RNAcentral.